GUGAAUAGUUAUAAUCAUACCGGUUGAUAAUCAUAAUAUUCUAAUUAUAUACAUAUGUACAAGUGGCUUGUGUAUAAGCAGAAGUAACGAUAAACAUUUGGGUGAAGAAAUAAGUUCCAGUAUAACCGAGCACGAGAAACACAUUUGUUGUGAAAUCUCUAUUUGAUUCAUUAAAAAAUCGGUCAAUAAAUUAAUUUCGAUUCAACAAGGGACUGCAUGCCGAUAUUUUCGUAGCAAAAAGGGAUUAGGUAUUAAAAUGAGUCAACUCCAAAGUUCUAAUUCGGGUGGUCAAUUUAUGGAUCGGGGGCGCAUGAAUCAAAAUGGUGUUGUCCAGCCUCUUUUAACAGAUCUAUAUCAGAUUACGAUGGCAUACGCUUAUUGGAAGUCGGGAAAAACUGAUGACCAAUCGGUAUUUGAUUUGUUCUUUCGAACGAAUCCAUUUCAUGGAGAAUUCACCAUAUUUGCUGGACUGGAGGAAUGUCUAAAAUUUUUAGAUAGUUUCCACUACUCAGAUAGCGAUAUUGACUAUCUGAGGCAGACAUUACCCGAAGGUGUAGAAAAUGAUUUUUUUGAAUACUUAGCCAGUUUGACGGCAAAAGAUGUUACCUUAUACGCCAUCGAUGAGGGUACAGUGGCUUUUCCAAGGGUACCUAUUAUCAAAGUUGAAGGACCUUUGAUAAUUGUGCAGCUUUUGGAAACAACAUUAUUGACGUUGGUGAAUUAUGCGAGUUUAAUGGCAACGAAUGCUGCUCGUUAUCGUAUGGUGGCUGGAAAACAUGUGAAACUUUUAGAAUUCGGCCUACGUCGUGCUCAAGGCCCAGAUGGAGGAUUAUCGGCUUCAAAAUAUUCUUAUACUGGUGGCUUUGAUGGAACAUCUAACGUACUGGCAGGAAAACUAUUCAAUAUACCUGUUAAGGGCACCCAUGCGCAUGCUUAUAUAACGUCAUUUUCUGGAAUUGGAGAGUUAAAAACACGUUUAUUAAGACAUAAGACAACAGGUAUAACUGGUGAUCUAUUGGAUCACGCUGUCCGACAUCGGCAGGCAUUGGCCCAUGUGCUCGACGUAUCCCAGGAGGAGUCUAGUGAAGGCGAAUUGGCGGCAAUGGUGUCCUAUGCAAUAGCGUUUCCCGAUGGAUUCAUGGCGCUAGUCGAUACGUACGAUGUUAAGAGCAAAGUACAAACUUCGAAGUCAAGCAAAGACAAAAGUGUGACAAUCAAUUACGAUAUUCCUAUCAACUUGCCACAAUCUAAUGGCCACAUUCUGCAGGAGACAGUUAAUGGAUAUUUUACCGCAAAUGACGUGCAUGCGAGAAAUGAAAGUCUAGUUGCUUCGAAUGAAAGACCAUGUAUUGGUGCAUUACUGGACCUUAAUGAUGCAGUUGAAUCAAGUACGCACUUAAAUUCAGCCAGUAAACCUAAUAUCAUUUCUAGAAACGCGACAACAGAUAGACAAACUCUAACUUCUUCUGCUCCAAACACGUAUCUGCCAAAAUAUGUCGCGAAGUCAUUCAGAAGCGGGCUUUUAAAUUUCUGUGCUGUUGCAUUGGCGCUCAACGAUUUGGGCUACCAUGCAGUUGGUAUUCGCAUCGACUCCGGAGAUUUGGCUUACUUAUCUUGCUUGGCACGCGAAACUUUCGAAAAGGUCGCCGAAAGGUUUAAGGUGCCAUGGUUCAAUAAGUUAACAAUUGUUGCAUCGAAUGACAUCAAUGAAGACACCAUUCUCAGCUUGAAUGAGCAGGGUCACAAAAUUGAUUGUUUCGGAAUCGGUACUCAUUUAGUAACAUGCCAAAGACAGCCAGCCCUCGGUUGUGUGUACAAGCUAGUUGAAAUAAAUGGACAACCACGCAUUAAAUUGAGCCAAGAUGUCGAAAAGGUCACAAUGCCGGGAAACAAGAACGCUUACAGAUUAUACAGUGCUGAUGGACAUGCACUAAUUGAUUUACUACAGAAGGUUUCGGAGCCGCCUCCAAGUGUUGGUCAAAAAGUUUUGUGCCGUCAUCCCUUCCAGGAGUCAAAGCGGGCUUACGUAAUUCCCUCCCAUGUUGAAUUGUUGUACAAAGUAUAUUGGAAGGACGGCAAAAUUACACAACAGUUGCCCACAUUAGAACAAGUGCGCGAAAAGGUAAAGAUUUCGCUUAAAACCCUGCGGAAUGAUCACAAGCGCACACUCAACCCAACGCCCUAUAAGGUGGCCGUCAGCGACAAUUUAUACAACUUUAUACACGAUUUGUGGCUGCAAAACGCACCGAUUGGCGAACUCUCAUGAUCUAUAUAAUUUUUUAAUUUCCCAAAAGAGUCAUGGUGCAAAUCAUAUGAACAUAAAAUUAGAAAAAAUUCAUCGGAAUUUGACAUAGGCAGCGGUGAAAGCAAAUUACAUUUACAAUUCUCAUUUCAAUACAUUCGUAGAUUUACAUAUAUAUGUAUAUAUGUAUAUGGAAAUCGGAUUGGGAAAAUAUAAGAUUACAGCACAACUUAUCAGGAAUGCGUCUUGUGCCUUAUGUACACAGACCCGGUUAUAUAUAAAUGCAUAUGAAUGUAAAUUCGUUUGCAUGAUUUUUAAGUACAAUUAUUAGUUAUGCAAAUAAGCGUCAUUGUAGGUAUGUACACAAAUGUGUGUAUAAGAGCUUUUUGAUAGAUGUUAGUUGAACAUUAAAAUGUAGAUGAUGUAUUACACUCACAAUGAACCAUACUGAAAUAUUGCAAGUUAAGAAAAAGUGUCGUAAUUAAUAUAAUAUAUUUUAAGAUACCAUUAAAAUAGAUUGUGAAAUUUGCUAAAAAAAGAAGAUAUUUACUUAUUUUCUUGCAAAACGUUAAAUAUGCACAACUUAACCUUCAUUAAACCCUUUAUUGAGUAUAGAAUGCGUAACUAAAAUAGCAUUCCGAAUCAUGUAAGCCACAAUAUAGGCAAUUUCUUAUUAAUGAAAAGAUUUUGUCUCCCUGACGCACCCAAUGUAGUUUAGAUUUAUAAUGUCUGUAAUUGAUUAAGUUACAUAUUAUGACAUUAUCAAAGCGUACAUACUACUAAGGCGCAUUUUGUAUAUUUAAUAUAGUUUGACCGUGUGUUUAAAAUUAAGUAUUGGUUUAUGUUUUUAAAUUAGAAUUAAAAGAUUGGAAACACAAAAAUAAAAUUUGUACAAAAUAAAUCAUCUAAUAUUCAGUUUAUUAUUACGGUGAGAUGAUAUAUGUAAACUGUUUAAAGAGAGAGUUACCUGACUACCAUAUAAACUCGUUAAUGACAAAAAAACGGAAACACAUACAUAUAAUUAUUUUCAAAUUUUUAUUAAUUUAUUGGUUGUAUCAUUGUCUUGUACAUUUCAAAAAUUCAUAUCCUUAUUAAGUAUAUUGUUAUGAAAGAUCUUUUUAAUCUACUCUGAAUCGUUACACAGGAUUGUUCAUCGAUUUAAGUAUGCAUGUAUUUUGUAUAUUAAGUUUUCGUCCGUUUAUUUUCACGUGGGUAUAUAUGUAUGUAUAGUAUAUAAUUCACUACAUAAUAUGAAACUGUUUAACGUUGAAGAUAAAUAAUUUUUAUAUUUUUGUCACUAUUUACUAUUCCGCUUUUAUAUAUAUGUAUGUUCUUAAAUUCUUUAUUGUUUGGUUAUAAUUCUUUGAUUAAUUAUCUGAGUAUUUGUACACUUCUUGCUUUAAAAAUUGUUGUUUAAGGAGUAGUCAUAUAAUGCAAAUUUUAAUGUGGAUACAUUGCCACUCGGCGAUGUUCUCUGUUUUCGUAUUACAACUUAAAAAAUAUGAAUAAAAAUAUUAUUGUUUCCAAUAUAUUUCUUUAUUUUUUAGAA
RNAcentral lists this unclassified non-coding RNA (3791 nucleotides) under Bactrocera tryoni. Its description in RNAcentral is "nicotinate phosphoribosyltransferase, transcript variant X3". Lineage: Eukaryota; Metazoa; Arthropoda; Insecta; Diptera; Tephritidae. The record is from RNAcentral.